GAGAGGAGCCAAAGACCUGCUAACUCUUUAAUCUGACAAAUUAUGCCAGCCCUCUCU
Molecule: transfer RNA, 57 nt
Filed under: Bothrops diporus
Lineage: Eukaryota; Metazoa; Chordata; Lepidosauria; Squamata; Viperidae
Description: tRNA-Ser
Source: RNAcentral